AAAGGAUUAUCAAUGUUUCUCGGCGAGAAAUUUGUAUUAAUGGGAGAUAACAGGUUCUGUUGCUGCUGCUGAAAUGGACUGCAAACUGCAGAUUUGUGGGUAGGGGAAUAAACAGAUUGAGCUACUGUUCGAUCAGAAAAUCUAGGAGAUGAGCUCUCUGCAGGAAAAUAAUCCUCAAGAUUUGCACGGGUAAAGGUCAUAGGACGAACUGAAUGGUUCAAAGAAUCAGAACUCAUGCUGUUACGCUGGGAUAGGCAGGAAAACUCAUUUAGGAACUGCUGUCGUUGCACAUCAAAAUCUGGACAUGUGGACAGGUCUGCAGCUGGUAUACCUCUAGCACUGAGCGAUGACCAUAGGCGACUCGAAUGAACAAAGCUACCAGGAAGAUGCAAGGGUGGGGCGUUUCGUUGGGCCCAACCCAUGCUUGAAAUUCCAUUAGCAGAAGGUGAUACAGGAGGUGUGAAAGGUGAUGGUGACAUGACAGAGACUGAGGAAGGA
Molecule: unclassified non-coding RNA, 498 nt
Filed under: Hevea brasiliensis (rubber tree)
Lineage: Eukaryota; Viridiplantae; Streptophyta; Magnoliopsida; Malpighiales; Euphorbiaceae
Source: RNAcentral